UCUCGAAAUUCUCGGGAAUCCCGAGAUGGUUUCGGGAUCCUGGAAAUUCACGGGAAUCCCGGAUGUAUUCGGGAUUUUGAAAUUCUCGGGAUUCCAUCCCGAUCGCGGGAGGAAUUCCCGUCCCCGGACCGGGAUCCCGCACACCCCUAGUUCCAUGAUUGUGUUUCGGAAUCUGACAAAGUAAAGAGUGCACUCCGUGAUACUUUCGCUACGAAAUAAGGUUACUUCUAGGAUUUUAUAAUUAACAUCACGGCGACCAGUUUCAGGUAAUCGACCCACGCGCUCGGCUGACCAUACCGAUCUCACGCUAUAUCAGUGUUUCUCAAACUUCACCUCUCCGCAGACUCCCCUCGAUAAAGGCUAACUUUUUGCUGCGCCGCUGGAGGAGAAUUCAAUUUAUUUAUAUUCGCAAAAGCUUAUCUUCAUUAUACCACCGGCUUCCAAACUUCUUUGAAAGACCUCUUAAACAGGAAAAAUGUACAGGUCCUCGGUCAUAGAUCGAGCGACAGUGGUCGAAAACCGACUUACUAGAAUACGAGAAAGGCAAGACUAAUUUGUUAUUAACGCAAAACUAAUCUCAUAGCCAAGCGAUCAAUGUAAUCAAAGGCUAACGCGAUCCCGUACCUCGGCGAAUAGUGUAAUCAAACACAUAAUCUGUCCCUUAGCUGAGCGAUUAAUGUAAUCAUCGAACGCAAAAUGUAUCCAUAUUCACUCCGUUUGAUUACAUUCCAUUUGAUUACAUUUAAUAAGGAAACCUGAAUGGUUUUCAACCAUGAAACGAUUCUUACAUCCCAACAAAUCCAAUUACUACAAAACUACAUUAUAUCGUAAUCGCGUUGUGAUUCGCGACGUGAAAUCACUUGGAAGAUGAAAUUUGAGAAGCACUGUGCCGCACAUAUCAUUUGAAUGAAGUCUACAAACGAUAUCAGCGGGCUCAUAAUAGUUUCAAUGGUGCCAAUUAUACCUUUGAAAGAGUUUCACUGGCCAUCGCUGCAUUAAUUGAACCCUCGUUCGAGCAAUCGUACCAAUAAUUUCAACCUUUGACACGAACUAAAUUAAAUUCAUUGCAUCGUAAACUUGGAAAAAUUAUAACAAAAUUAUAACGUGUCCAACGUUUGUAAAGCGUGCGACCCACUUGACCGAGGACACGAAAACAGUGAAAAAAGUUCACAUAAACACGUCGCCCCGUUCGACCUCCAUCCCGGCAAACCAUUUUUUUUUUUUUUGCUUCAACAAUUUUUCAUCGCGAACCCAAGCUAGUGUAAUUGAUUCUAUCAAACUGUUUGUACACAAUGUUCUUACGACUCGUCCUUUUCUUUAAUAGGAAAUUAAUGGGUCAAUCGCGGCGUCGACUUGUUGAGCAAUCAAUUGCGCGCGAUUAUUGGAUGCGAUUUGUGCAUCGUCCCAUUUCAGCCGUGCGAGCCAGCCAGUUCUCGAACGAAUAAUUUUCUAACGGAUGAACCGAUCGUGCACCUCGCACAACGUAACGAGGAGCCUGCUGACGAUUCGAUAAAGUACCUGGAAUAUUUGAAAAAACUGAGAACCUCUAUUGUCUAUGACAGGAUAUCCGCAGUAUGCUAGACGAAGAUGGGACGAUUUUGGCUACUUCCUGUGUAGAGAAAUUCGAGCCAGGAAGCGAAUAUCUUCAACUCGGCCUAGUCGUACGCGAACCAGUGUCUUAACAUCAUCAAUGUUCCUGAUACCGGGCGCAAAUGGUGAUCGACUUGGCGUGGAACGACCUUUCGACAAUUUCGUCUUCCAUCGGAAUUUAAUCACCUUCCGCCGUUUCCUUUUGUUCUUUCGCUUACGAAAAUUUUAAUCGUUCGCAAGAAGUCAACUGUCUCCCCGUUCUCUUUCACUGUGUAAUGAUAGUGUUCUGUUUUCGUUUAUCUCUUUUACAGACAUGAUCACUUAUGCACAAACAUUCGUCGAUCGCAACCAAAGAAAUCGGAGGUGACGCGCUCUUCGUGUAAGAAAGAAAUAUACUUGGAGAACGUCGCGGUUAUUUUCACAGGGGCGAACACCUGACGAGUUCAUUCGAUUCGUUGUUAAUUAACUGUGGACUUUUAUGCAUUUAUACGAAAUUUUAUCAAACGAUAUAAUAGUAAAGUUUGUAUCGCGAUAUUCGCAGAGCGAAGUAAUAGAUGAAGCGUUUUAGAGAUUUUUAGAGAACAAAUUAAGAUAAUAAAUUCCUGUUUAGGUACAGUUCUUUUGGGUACGUUUUGCAAAAGAUUUUAUUUUGCAUGAAGAUCCGCAGUCUAGUUAUCAGGCUACGUUUCGAUUGUCAAGAUGAUCGUGAUAUCCCUUCGAGUGCAAAAAUGAAAUUAAGAGAUUCCAAGUAAACGAACCAGAAACGAAUUCCUUGUAUAUUUCUAAUGAUUGAAAAGUUAAAUUUUAAAACGAUACACGCCGAUCUUUUUUACGCGUUUAAAGUUCACAUUCGAUGGCAUUGAAUAUAUAAUUACGACGCUGAAUUUGAAAAUGUCCGUCACGGAUCGCCGAACUAUACCGAAGCGGUACGAGCAGAGACGGGCAAAAUUCGAUUCGAAUAAUAGGUAACGAAUCCUCGAUUUAAUAACUAAAAUGUUCAGUUAAACGAAAACGAGAAUCAUCGCUCUGUUAUUCGAACCAUUGAUUUUCAUUUUCGUAACUUGUCCAAACGCCUCGGAACCAGUUCGUGGAGCCUCCAGUCUUUUUGAAAUUCUGCGUCUAAUUCGAUUAUAUCUCUCGAAGAGAGCCAAAUCCAACGACUAAUGGAUCGAACUAUCAACAAAUCUCGAUAUCUUCAGUUUGCUCUAUAUUUAUUUUUAUCUAUUUUAUUUAGCAUCUUUGUUGCGCAAUUAUGUAAGGGUACGUAUAAGAUGAACACGUUAUAUUUAUGCUGAUACAUAUGCAAGAGGCGGAGUUUGACUGUAGUUCUGUUUCUAAACCAGUCUUUUCGAAUACGACUAUUAUCUCUCAGUCGUGAUUCAAUUAAAAUAUUCAUUUUAAUAUAUUUUAUACCGCAACAUAAAUUUGAAUUUCGUGUUCAUCUUUCGUUCGUUAUUUGGAAAUUGUUAGCUAGUUAGAAAUGUUUUGCCCAUCUCUGUAUACGUAGCCGAAGAGGAGCGAUCACUGAAAGCCGAUUACUCGAAACAACAAAUGAUUUUACGCGUCGAACGAAGUCACCGCGUUUCGUUUUUGCCUUACCUGUCGACUUCCGUCUACAGUUGGCAAGGAUGAGCGAGCAACUCCGCGCGAUUAUGUUCGUUCCAGCAUCAAGACCGCCGUGGGCGAACGAAAACGGUAAGCGUUACCGAAAAUCGCGAGGGGGCACAUCCGCUAACGAGUAAAAAAUAAAAAAAACCGUACCGCGCGUUUUUUCACGAGCGAAAUCGGUAACCGUGUCGGUACCUGAUCUUCAAACGAGUGAGUAUGAUGUACUCGUUGCCGCGCGAUGGCUCUCUUAGCGGUCUUGACGUCAAACACCUUGGCUCCAUCCCCUCUUGGACGCGAUGAAAAAGAAGGGAUGAUCAGGGAUGAUCUAGGAAACACGGGAAGCGGUGUAGGUAUCACUUAAUGGAAAAGGGUCCAUAAGAAAAAGUGUAAAACAUAUAUUUGAAACACAUUUUCUCU
This is a long non-coding RNA of Hylaeus anthracinus, 3615 nucleotides long. RefSeq lists it as uncharacterized. The record is from RefSeq and is a predicted model, not a curated record. The transcript is spliced from 2 exons. Lineage: Eukaryota; Metazoa; Arthropoda; Insecta; Hymenoptera; Colletidae.